This 335-nucleotide long non-coding RNA is filed under the name Gallus gallus (chicken). Lineage: Eukaryota; Metazoa; Chordata; Aves; Galliformes; Phasianidae. The record is from RNAcentral.
CUUGAGGCAAGUCUGGAAUCCCUCCAGGAAUUGAAAGUGUACCACUGUAGAAAGCAGGUGCUUCAUAACUCUGCGGAUUGCCAACAGAUCUCUUUGGUUGGUCGGGGUAGUCAUGAAUGAAAUGGUUCACUGCUCCAUCUAUAUUUAGGGGAUAGAUUUCCCAUUCAACAAGUAUAUCUUCAUCAAGAGUUAAAUUUGAAACCAGACCCUUGAAGUCAUUAUUGAAUCUUCCAAAGUUGACUCGGCCCAUAUUCUCUACUAAGAUGUCCAGAUUUGCUCCAGCAUUUCCAGUUAUAUUUAUCAUUAGUGACUUGCCCCUUUCAAGGACUCCUUGC